Molecule: ribosomal RNA, 253 nt
Filed under: uncultured bacterium
Lineage: Bacteria
Description: partial 16S ribosomal RNA
Rfam family: Bacterial small subunit ribosomal RNA
Source: RNAcentral
UACGGAGGAUGCAAGCGUUAUCCGGAAUCAUUGGGCGUAAAGCGUACGUAGGUGGCUUUUCAAGUCUGCCGUCAAAGACCGGGGCUUAACCCCAGAAAGGCGGUGGAAACUGAAUAGCUAGAGUGCGGUAGGGGUAGAGGGAAUUCCCGGUGUAGCGGUGAAAUGCGUAGAGAUCGGGAAGAACACCGGUGGCGAAAGCGCUCUACUGGACCGUAACUGACACUCAGGGACGAAAGCUAGGGGAGCGAAUGGG